RNAcentral lists this non-coding RNA (23 nucleotides) under Arabidopsis thaliana (thale cress). Lineage: Eukaryota; Viridiplantae; Streptophyta; Magnoliopsida; Brassicales; Brassicaceae. The record is from RNAcentral.
CCAGGGGGUCGAGUAAUGUGGUA